UAAGGUGGUAGGCUUAAAUCUUAGGUAAAUCCGGGAUUUUUUAAGGCCGAGAGCUGAUGACGAGUUAUCUUUUAGAUGACGAAGUGGUCGAUGCCAUGCUUCCAGGAAAAGCUUCUAAGCUUCAGGUAACUAGGAACCGUACCCCAAACCGACACAGGUGGUUGGGUAGAGAAUACCAAGGCGCUUGAGAGAACUCGGGUGAAGGAACUAGGCAAAAUGGCACCGUAACUUCGGGAGAAGGUGCGCCGGUGAGGGUGAAGUAUUUACUACGUAAGCCCAUGCCGGUCGAAGAUACCAGGCCGCUGCGACUGUUUAUUAAAAACACAGCACUCUGCAAACACGAAAGUGGACGUAUAGGGUGUGACGCCUGCCCGGUGCCGGAAGGUUAAUUGAUGGGGUUAGCUAACGCGAAGCUCUUGAUCGAAGCCCCGGUAAACGGCGGCCGUAACGAUAACGGUCCUAAGGUAGCGAAAUUCCUUGUCGGGUAAGUUCCGACCUGCACGAAUGGCGUAACGAUGGCGGCGCUGUCUCCACCCGAGACUCAGUGAAAUUGAAAUCGCUGUGAAGAUGCAGUGUAUCCGCGGCUAGACGGAAAGACCCCGUGAACCUUUACUACAGCUUUGCACUGGACUUUGAAUUUGCUUGUGUAGGAUAGGUGGGAGGCUUUGAAGCGUGGACGCUAGUCUGCGUGGAGCCAAUCUUGAAAUACCACCCUGGCAACUUUGAGGUUCUAACUCUGGUCCGUUAUCCGGAUCGAGGACAGUGUAUGGUGGGUAGUUUGACUGGGGCGGUCUCCUCCUAAAGAGUAACGGAGGAGUACGAAGGUGCGCUCAGACCGGUCGGAAAUCGGUCGUAGAGUAUAAAGGCAAAAGCGCGCUUGACUGCGAGACAGACACGCCGAGCAGGUACGAAAGUAGGUCUUAGUGAUCCGGUGGUUCUGUAUGGAAGGGCCAUCGCUCAACGGAUAAAAGGUACUCCGGGGAUAACAGGCUGAUACCGCCCAAGAGUUCAUAUCGACGGCGGUGUUUGGCACCUCGAUGUCGGCUCAUCACAUCCUGGGGCUGAAGCCGGUCCCAAGGGUAUGGCUGUUCGCCAUUUAAAGUGGUACGCGAGCUGGGUUUAGAACGUCGUGAGACAGUUCGGUCCCUAUCUGCCGUGGACGUUUGAGAUUUGAGAGGGGCUGCUCCUAGUACGAGAGGACCGGAGUGGACGAACCUCUGGUGUUCCGGUUGUCACGCCAGUGGCAUUGCCGGGUAGCUAUGUUCGGGAAAGAUAACCGCUGAAAGCAUCUAAGCGGGAAACUUGCCUCGAGAUGAGAUCUCACUGGAACCUUGAGUUCCCUAAAGGGCCGUCGAAGACUACGACGUUGAUAGGUUGGGUGUGUAAGCGCUGUGAGGCGUUGAGCUAACCAAUACUAAUUGCCCGUGAGGCUUGACCG
Molecule: ribosomal RNA, 1438 nt
Filed under: metagenome
Description: bacterial LSU rRNA
Rfam family: Bacterial large subunit ribosomal RNA
Source: RNAcentral